GGGCCGGUAGCUCAGUCGGUAGAGCAUCUGCCUUUUAAGCAGAGGGUCCCGGGUUCGAGUCCCGGCCGGCUCACCA
RNAcentral lists this transfer RNA (76 nucleotides) under Acidobacteria bacterium RIFCSPLOWO2_02_FULL_59_13. RNAcentral describes it as "tRNA-Lys". It matches the Rfam family "tRNA". From Rfam's summary of the family: Transfer RNA (tRNA) molecules are approximately 80 nucleotides in length. Their secondary structure includes four short double-helical elements and three loops (D, anti-codon, and T loops). RNAcentral also lists the same sequence under 4 other names. Lineage: Bacteria; Pseudomonadati; Acidobacteriota. The record is from RNAcentral.